This 498-nucleotide ribosomal RNA is filed under the name uncultured bacterium. RNAcentral's name for it is "partial 16S ribosomal RNA". It matches the Rfam family "Bacterial small subunit ribosomal RNA", at positions 30 to 523 of the family's 1533-position model. The record is from RNAcentral.
AUUGAACGCUGGCGGCAUGCCUUACACAUGCAAGUCGAACGGUAACAGGUCUUCGGAUGCUGACGAGUGGCGAACGGGUGAGUAAUACAUCGGAACGUGCCUAGUAGUGGGGGAUAACUACUCGAAAGAGUGGCUAAUACCGCAUGAGAUCUACGGAUGAAAGCAGGGGAUCGCAAGACCUUGUGCUACUAGAGCGGCCGAUGGCAGAUUAGGUAGUUGGUGGGAUAAAAGCUUACCAAGCCGACGAUCUGUAGCUGGGCUGAGAGGACGAUCAGCAACACUGGGACUGAGAAACGGACCAGACUCCUACGGGAGGAGGCAGUGGGGAAUUUUGGACAAUGGGCGCAAGCCUGAUCCAGCAAUGCCGCGUGAAGGAUGAAGGCCUUCGGGUUGUAAACUGCUUUUGUACGGAACGAAAAGCCCCGGGUUAAUACCCUGGGGUCAUGACGGUACCGUAAGAAUAAGCACCGGCUAACUACGUGCCAGCCGCCGCCGUAA